RNAcentral lists this ribosomal RNA (515 nucleotides) under uncultured bacterium. Its description in RNAcentral is "partial 16S ribosomal RNA". It matches the Rfam family "Bacterial small subunit ribosomal RNA", at positions 28 to 523 of the family's 1533-position model. The record is from RNAcentral.
GAUGAACGCUGGCGGCGUGCCUAAUACAUGCAAGUCGAGCGAAUGGAUUAAGAGCUUGCUCUUAUGAAGUUAGCGGCGGACGGGUGAGUAACACGUGGGUAACCUGCCCAUAAGACUGGGAUAACUCCGGGAAACCGGGGCUAAUACCGGAUAACAUUUUGAACCGCAUGGUUCGAAAUUGAAAGGCGGCUUCGGCUGUCACUUAUGGAUGGACCCGCGUCGCAUUAGCUAGUUGGGGAGGUAACGGCUCACCAAGGCAACGAUGCGUAGCCGAACUGAGAGGGUGAUCGGCCACACUGGGACUGAGACACGGCCCAGACUCCUACGGGAGGCAGCAGUAGGGAAUCUUCCGCAAUGGACGAAGGUCUGACGGAGCAACGCCGCGUGAGUGAUGAAGGCUUUCGGGUCGUAAAACUCUGUUGUUAGGGAAGAACAAGUGCUAGUUGAAUAAGCUGGCACCUUGACGGUACCUAACCAGAAAGCCACGGCUAACUACGUGCCAGCCGCCGCGGUAA